Molecule: small RNA, 1042 nt
Filed under: Pongo abelii (Sumatran orangutan)
Lineage: Eukaryota; Metazoa; Chordata; Mammalia; Primates; Hominidae
Description: sense intronic
Source: RNAcentral
AAGCAUUCGGAACCUUGAUUCCACAGGACAGAUGAUAAAAGAAUAUUAUCAGGCAGGUAACACAAGAAAUACAAAUUCAAAAUCAGUGCAUACAGUGCCCAGUCUUCCAAAUGAAGAGAUGAAUAUUAAAACUAUUCAGAGACCACUGGCCAUUAAGUUGAGCAAAAAUCAAGACGUACUUUACAGCCUAAUAUUGAUAGGUCUUAAAGGAAAUGUUUUCAGUCAUAUAAUAUGUUGACACUGCAAACGUAAGCAGAGCUUUUGCGGUACAGUCUGGCAUUAAGUAUUACGAGAGAAAAACAUUUUGCCCAGAGACACUUACUGGGGCUCUAUUUGCUCUGGAAACUAUUAGAGAAUGUUGUAUCUAUAUAAUAGAAUAAUAUUCAUUAAUAAGAAUUCUUUAAGGUUUGGUUUAUAAACUUAGGCAUACAUAAUAAUGUCAAUUAAAUGGCAAUAUAAAAAUUGUAAAUGUUGAUAACUACAUAAAAUUUUUAUGUCUGUUAAAUUGAUAUGAUAUGAAUGACAAUUAUUUGAAGUUUCUAGCUCUUUUCCCUUGUGAGAGUUGUCAGAAUCAAAAUGAAGUCACUUGUAUUAAAUUCUAACAAAAGAUAAAUAAAGCCAGGAGGUUAAGAAGGGAGCUCUCACAUACAUGUCUACCGUAAGAACUGCUACAAAGCAUCUCUGAACAGCUCUUCUUCACGUAUGCCUGUAAUAAGAACUUUUGCCAGCAGUCCCUGCAUCUCUGCAUCCAUGGAGCCCCAUUGACAUUCCCCACCUGCAGCGGCCACUGCAGCUCAAACUGCAGCUUGCUACACGAGUCACAAGGAUAGCUAGCUGGAUGCGCAAGAACAUUUGACUGACACAGUCUCCCCUGUAUCCAAUGUUCUCUUUGUUUUCAAACAAAUUCCCUAUGCUUUUCCCUUUUGCCUUUAAAAGCUUCUCCUGGCUUCAACCUGUUUGGAUAUGCCUGCGGUCCCUAUAGCCCUCAUAUGCUGGAUUUGCAAAUCCCCUGCACUCUCCAGAAUAAACUCAAUUCAAUAAA